Molecule: ribosomal RNA, 484 nt
Filed under: uncultured bacterium
Lineage: Bacteria
Description: partial 16S ribosomal RNA
Rfam family: Bacterial small subunit ribosomal RNA
Source: RNAcentral
AUUGAACGCUGGCGGCAGGCCUAACACAUGCAAGUCGAGCGGAUGAAGGGAGCUUGCUCCUGGAUUCAGCGGCGGACGGGUGAGUAAUGCCUAGGAAUCUGCCUGGUAGUGGGGGAUAACGUCCGGAAACGGGCGCUAAUACCGCAUACGUCCUGAGGGAGAAAGUGGGGGAUCUUCGGACCUCACGCUAUCAGAUGAGCCUAGGUCGGAGUGGCUAGUUGGUGGGGUAAAGGCCUACCAAGGCGACGAUCCGUAACUGGUCUGAGAGGAUGAUCAGUCACACUGGAACUGAGACACGGUCCAGACUCCUACGGGAGGCAGCAGUGGGGAAUAUUGGACAAUGGGCGAAAGCCUGAUCCAGCCAUGCCGCGUGUGUGAAGAAGGUCUUCGGAUUGUAAAGCACUUUAAGUUGGGAGGAAGGGCAGUAAGUUAAUACCUUGCUGUUUUGACGUUACCAACAGAAUAAGCACCGGCUAACUUCGUG